This 30-nucleotide non-coding RNA is filed under the name Rattus norvegicus (Norway rat). The record is from RNAcentral. Lineage: Eukaryota; Metazoa; Chordata; Mammalia; Rodentia; Muridae.
UCACUAGGUAGGUGCUCUUUCUCCUCUAGU